ACGUACGAGGUGCCAGGAUACUCGGGGCAAUAUGGCUGCUUGAAGGCAGACAGCCUAAACCCAAAGCCUAUCUUCCUCUUCUCCCAACGGCAGGAAGUUGCAGGUAACAUGGCAACCGUCACAGCUACUUCACACCAGCAGCGAGGGAGAUCAGCCAGCUGUAGCCCUUGGCUGUGGUGUUCAUCACAGCAGCAGAAAGCACACCAGGAAAUUCAAGAACACCGAGUUUGCAGCCCGGCACUGUGCGUUAUACCAAUCCUUCCGUACACGCCUGAUAUACAGGGUGUCUGAGAACUGUUAUGUCAAAGGAAAAUGGAGAGUGGCUGAGCACUGCCUUGAGCCCUGGGGAGUUUGGAGUGGUUGGAGGCAGUGCUGCCUUGGCAGAAGAAGAUUUAUUGAACAGCUUUCAGCAUUCUCCAGUGAAAUACUGCUAUGUUUAAAAAAAUGAAUUUAUACAUAA
This is a long non-coding RNA of Mus musculus (house mouse), 460 nucleotides long. RefSeq annotates it as predicted gene, 34332. The transcript has 2 exons. Lineage: Eukaryota; Metazoa; Chordata; Mammalia; Rodentia; Muridae. The record is from RefSeq and is a predicted model, not a curated record.